This 253-nucleotide ribosomal RNA is filed under the name uncultured bacterium. RNAcentral's name for it is "partial 16S ribosomal RNA". It matches the Rfam family "Bacterial small subunit ribosomal RNA", at positions 524 to 776 of the family's 1533-position model. The record is from RNAcentral.
UACGUAGGUGGCAAGCGUUGUCCGGAUUUACUGGGCGUAAAGCGCACGUAGGCGGAUCGAUCAGUCAGGGGUGAAAUCCCAGAGCUCAACCCUGGAACUGCCUUUGAUACUGUCGAUCUGGAGUAUGGAAGAGGUGAGUGGAAUUCCGAGUGUAGAGGUGAAAUUCGUAGAUAUUCGGAGGAACACCAGUGGCGAAGGCGGCUCACUGGUCCAUUACUGACGCUGAGGUGCGAAAGCGUGGGGAGCAAACAGG